Molecule: long non-coding RNA, 2427 nt
Organism: Empidonax traillii (willow flycatcher)
Lineage: Eukaryota; Metazoa; Chordata; Aves; Passeriformes; Tyrannidae
Exons: 4
Source: RefSeq, a predicted model, not a curated record
CUGGACUUACUCCCAUGGGUCCAUGUUCUUACCAUGCUGGGUCCCCAGAGCUGGAUGCAGUACUGCAGGUGGGAUAUGAUGAGAGUGGAGUAGAGGGGAAGUGUUAUUGGUAGAUUAUGAGAGAAAGAGAGAAAGAAACGAGUGAACCCUUUAUUAAAUUUUCAGUUCAGAAGGAAAGGUUUUGGGAUUUGCCUUUAAUAACACUUCAUUGCAUAGCAUAUUUGACCUGACAAUGUCUCUCUAAAUUGUAAAAAUUCAGGGCAAAAUUUUCCCCCGGCCAUGCAUCUCUCACCUACUUUAAUGCCCAUUGCAACCCUAGGGAAAUCAAAGCAGCAGCUGUGCUUUUUCCUGUCUCACAAGGACUUGCAGUGUUAUUUCCAUGCUCAGAAAUUCAACAAACAUUCUUCUUUUACACCCCUGGGAUUUGCAGAUCUUCCUAAUACGCAUUUAUUUUUAAUUAAUGAAAUGCUUAAGAGUAUCAUGGCUUCGUCUUGCUAACAGCAGCACCAGUGACUGCUCUCAUAGCACCGUGUGUCACUCAUUCCCUCUGAAACUGUCACUCACCCCCUCUGAAAGUGUGUUAAGGUAUUUUUCAUCCCCUCCCACAGUUUAUUAAGGCACUUCUGCACUCAUCACUUUUUAUGGAAAGGCACUGUUUUGGUGAAUGAAUAGAGCUGCUGGUUGGAGCAGGUCCUGACCUAUUGCUAAUGCUUUAAUAGCAUUAACCACAUCAGCAGUAGUGAUUUUAAUUACCUCUUAUAAUGCAGAUUUUGGUCUAGUUCUAUUUCUAUACGUAAUGUGUUCAUACCCACUAGCCAGUUAGCAACAGUACACAGUCAUCUGGGAUUUUUUAUUUAUCUGAGGUGCAAAAUACCAAAAAAAAAUAAAAAAAAAGCCACCAGAAAAAGCAGAAAGCCCAAGCAGAUGUGAUUUAAGUCAGAGCAAAGCAUGCUCCACAAUUACAGACGUAAACAGCUUCUGGCGACUGUGUAAAAGCAAUAGGUUUUAUCUUGCACAUGAAGACUGAGGAGAGUUAGGAGGGAUGCCUAAUCUUUGACUCCAGCAGUCUAUUUCUUUUUUUCACUUCUUACCUUUACAUUAGGUGCUAAGCAUGAUUGUGAAAGACAUGCUAGAGCUUAUCCAUUAGCCUGAUAAAAUUAAGACUAACCCCAAUGGCUGAUCGAGUAUACUGAUGUAAUACUUGAGUAAACACGCAUACGGCAGAAGAUACAGGUACUGUAUUAUAUGUGCAAAAUCAAACCAAAAAAAGGACCCUGAUACCUUGUUCAGAGUAUGGGUAAGAGAUGCAAGGGUACCAGAAGUUUUCUUAUCUAUGCAGUUAAAAUAUAUUUUAAAAAUUAUUACAAAACAAGUAUUAAAAUUAUUUUUACAAUUAAAAACCCAAGCUAUUGUGCUGUGUUGCCUAUUGCACAUUAUUGUGUUUAUUAAUAGCACUCCUGUAAAAGUGAGAAUGUAUAAGAUAUGUAUUGAAAAAUAAAAUCUAAGUCUGAACCAUGUAUCAAAUUCAGAAAGCCGCUUUGAAAAUAUAAUCAUUGUGCACAACCUCUAAAUUUGAAAAGGUUCAGGGUUUAGUUAGUGCUUUAAGUACUACUGUUUUAGUGAUAAUAAGUAAAGCUCUUCAGUCUGUGUGUUGUAAAAGUAAUGGAAGUUGUACAGUUAAUAAUUAAUAAUUCAGUAAAUAACUUCAUAAUUCUGCUUCUGUGGCAAACAUGUCUGUUUUGACCCUACCUUUAAAAAAAUACAAAAGAAACCCAAACCAACUUGUAUUUCACCAUUUACUGUCCUUUCUACCAGCAUGUGGGAGAGAGAGCAAACACACUCUCCUGUCCUGACUAGCAGCCUUUUAGAAAAGGAAGGUCAGUGUUUCUCCCCCUCAGCCCCUCUGUGUGCUGUGUAGUAGCUGCACUCAACACAUGGAAACAUCUUACACAUAGUUCAUUCUGUUAGAAGGCAUUUUAUCCAAUAUAACAGGUAUCCAACUGUACCCCAACAUCAUAUGAGGUAAGUUAGAGUCUUAGACUGGUGCUCUGGGUGUUCUAGUUAUUGAGUGAUACAUAUCGAUGCCUAAAGCAAUUAAGCAUUUUGAAAUAGUGCAGUGAAGUCAAGACUCUCCCGUGUCAGUUGAAUUAAAAUGCCUCCCACACCCUAUGGCACUGUGCUAUUAGGGAUAGUUUUUCCAAGAUAAUUCAUGGUGUAUGACCAUGUUUGAUGUGACCAUGCUCUGCUCAAAAUGCAGGUGAUCUCUCACUCGAGAAUGUGUGAUUGUUUACGACAAUUUAUAGCAAACAAAUUCUCCUAGAAAAGAAUAACGCUUGCAAGGCAAACCAUUCAGCUGAAGGAUUUCAUCAUCUAGGAGGCAGGUUUUAUACCAUCAAAAUAAACAGGUAAAAAAUUGCCUAAAUCAGG